This 58-nucleotide transfer RNA is filed under the name Cordylochernes scorpioides. RNAcentral's name for it is "tRNA-OTHER". The record is from RNAcentral. Lineage: Eukaryota; Metazoa; Arthropoda; Arachnida; Pseudoscorpiones; Chernetidae.
UGCAUCGGCCGGGAAUCGAACCUGGGCCGCCCGCGUUCUACCACUGAACCACCGAUGA